Lathyrus oleraceus (garden pea) is the source of this 175-nucleotide long non-coding RNA. RefSeq lists it as uncharacterized. The transcript is spliced from 2 exons. The record is from RefSeq and is a predicted model, not a curated record. NCBI's taxonomy places the organism in Eukaryota, Viridiplantae, Streptophyta, Magnoliopsida, Fabales, Fabaceae.
ACAGUGUUUCACAAUUUUAUGCAUGAUUUAAAUUAACCAACAACUCAAUUAAAUUAACCACACUUGCAUGUGAUUUGAAAGUUGAUGCAGGUCUAGAAAAAUGAAGGGUCCAUGUAUCAUUUUUGAACAAAAUUGGACCAAAAACAGUGAUAGCAACAACACAAUGAAAACAAAA